RNAcentral lists this non-coding RNA (155 nucleotides) under Roseobacter insulae. Its description in RNAcentral is "6S / SsrS RNA". It matches the Rfam family "6S / SsrS RNA". From Rfam's summary of the family: E. coli 6S RNA was the first non coding RNA to be sequenced, but its function was unknown until recently. The record is from Rfam by way of RNAcentral. Lineage: Bacteria; Pseudomonadati; Pseudomonadota; Alphaproteobacteria; Rhodobacterales; Roseobacteraceae.
UGGGUGCUGCUCUGCGCGUGACUGGUUACAUUCCAGUGGCCUUAAGCAAAUCCGAGGGAGCUGGCUCUGUCCUGGCCCUGGCCUGGUUACCUGGCGCCCACCUGUAUAUACAGGUCCUCGGGAAUAAAUACCAAAACGGCUGUAGCGGGCCCAUC